Molecule: ribosomal RNA, 613 nt
Filed under: fungal endophyte sp. g7
Lineage: Eukaryota; Fungi
Description: eukaryotic LSU rRNA
Rfam family: 5.8S ribosomal RNA (bases 241-394)
Source: RNAcentral
CUUGGUCAUUUAGAGGAAGUAAAAGUCGUAACAAGGUCUCCGUUGGUGAACCAGCGGAGGGAUCAUUACUGAGUUUACGCUCUAUAACCCUUUGUGAACAUACCUAUAACUGUUGCUUCGGCGGGUAGGGUCUCCGCGACCCUCCCGGCCUCCCGCCUCCGGGCGGGUCGGCGCCCGCCGGAGAAUAACCAAACUCUGAUUUAACGACGUUUCUUCUGAGUGGUACAAGCAAAUAAUCAAAACUUUUAACAACGGAUCUCUUGGUUCUGGCAUCGAUGAAGAACGCAGCGAAAUGCGAUAAGUAAUGUGAAUUGCAGAAUUCAGUGAAUCAUCGAAUCUUUGAACGCACAUUGCGCCCGCCAGCAUUCUGGCGGGCAUGCCUGUUCGAGCGUCAUUUCAACCCUCAAGCUCUGCUUGGUGUUGGGGCCCUACAGCUGAUGUAGGCCCUCAAAGGUAGUGGCGGACCCUCCCGGAGCCUCCUUUGCGUAGUAACUUUACGUCUCGCACUGGGAUCCGGAGGGACUCUUGCCGUAAAACCCCCCAAUUUUCCAAAGGUUGACCUCGGAUCAGGUAGGAAUACCCGCUGAACUUAAGCAUAUCAAUAAGCGGAGGA